UGCAAAUGAUGUUUUUCUCACGGUGGUCUUCCUAGCCUGUAAGGCACUGACGAUGCUGCCCUUUGGCAAAACUGAUGCAAAUUA
Osmerus eperlanus (European smelt) is the source of this 84-nucleotide small nucleolar RNA. RefSeq annotates it as small nucleolar RNA SNORD35. The record is from RefSeq and is a predicted model, not a curated record. NCBI's taxonomy places the organism in Eukaryota, Metazoa, Chordata, Actinopteri, Osmeriformes, Osmeridae. The transcript has a single exon.